GCCGGCUGGCUCCGUGCCCGUCCGCCGAACGGCCGGCAGGCGAUCCGUGUCGGUCGCGCGAGGUGCUUUAUGUAUGGUUUACCCGGAGGAUGGUUCUUGUGUUGCCUACCCCUUCAGGGGAAGCGCAGGCAGUUGAUGUAGGCCUCCAUCCGGCGCCCUCCGAUGGGGCGCCGGAGGACAGCGUAGCGCCCCCCGCGUUCCACCGAGCCCUCGUCGGUCGCGUGGCCCGCGGGGACGUGCGAUGCUCUCGGACCCAGCGCACGCCGUGGGCGAGGACUCACGUCCAAGUCCCAAGANAAGCUUCUAUGCAAUGUAUNACGGCCGCUCCCGCCCCACGACCGCCCCGGCGGCGCGGGGGCGCGGCGCGGCGUCGCGGAGGAAUGCUACCUGGUUGAUCCUGCCA
RNAcentral lists this unclassified non-coding RNA (403 nucleotides) under Acacia lycopodiifolia. RNAcentral describes it as "partial external transcribed spacer". The record is from RNAcentral. Lineage: Eukaryota; Viridiplantae; Streptophyta; Magnoliopsida; Fabales; Fabaceae.